RNAcentral lists this ribosomal RNA (253 nucleotides) under uncultured bacterium. RNAcentral describes it as "partial 16S ribosomal RNA". It matches the Rfam family "Bacterial small subunit ribosomal RNA", at positions 524 to 776 of the family's 1533-position model. The record is from RNAcentral.
UACGUAGGUGGCAAGCGUUGUCCGAAAUUAUUGGGCGUAAAGGGCGUGUAGGUGGAUCUUUAAGUCGUGUGUCUAAGUGCGGUGCUCAACGCCGUAUGGGCGCAGGAAACUGGGGAUCUUGAGUGCAGGAGAGGAAAGCGGAAUUCCCAGUGUAGCGGUGAAAUGCGUAGAUAUUGGGAGGAACACCAGUGGCGAAGGCGGCUUUCUGGACUGUGUCUGACACUGAGGCGCGAAAGCGUGGGGAGCAAACAGG